RNAcentral lists this ribosomal RNA (627 nucleotides) under uncultured fungus. RNAcentral describes it as "eukaryotic LSU rRNA". It matches the Rfam family "Eukaryotic large subunit ribosomal RNA", at positions 23 to 664 of the family's 3401-position model. Lineage: Eukaryota; Fungi. The record is from RNAcentral.
ACCCGCUGAACUUAAGCAUAUCAAUAAGCGGAGGAAAAGAAACUAACAAGGAUUCCCCUAGUAACGGCGAGUGAAGCGGGAAGAGCUCAAAUUUGUAAUCUGGCACUUUCAGUGUCCGAGUUGUAAUCUCGAGAAGUGUUUUCCGCGCUGGACCGCAUACAAGUCUGUUGGAAUACAGCGUCAUAGUGGUGAGAACCCCGUAACUGAUGCGGAUGCCCAGUGCUUUGUGAUACACUUUCGAAGAGUCGAGUUGUUUGGGAAUGCAGCUCAAAUUGGGUGGUAAAUUCCAUCUAAAGCUAAAUAUUGGCGAGAGACCGAUAGCGAACAAGUACCGUGAGGGAAAGAUGAAAAGCACCUUGGAAAGGGAGUUAACAGUACGUGAAGUUGUUGGAAGGGAAACGCUUGAAGUCAGACUUGCUAUGUGGAUUUAUUCGCUUCGCAGGCCAGCAUCAGUUUCUGGGGGUGGAAAAGGGUUUGGAGAAGGUAGCAACUCCGGUUGUGUUAUAGCUCCUUGCUGGAUUCAUCUUUGGGGACUGAGGAACGCAGCGCGCUUUUUGCAAGGCUUUCGAGCUUUUCGCGCUUAGGAUGCUGGUGGAAUGGCUUUAAACGACCCGUCUUGAAACACGG